CUUCUAUAAACAUACAUGAAUCAUCACUUGUUUCUUACUCACAUCAACAUGGGAGUUUACAUGUACCAUGCAUAUAUAGAGAAAUAUUUACAUGAUGUUAACUAAAAGUAUAUGCGUCAAGCUUGGGAAGGGGUCAAAAUGAGCCUUAUCUUCACUACCCCUUAAGGUAAACCCAUGUCACUAAAAAAAAAAAAAAAGAAUCCUCAACUUCCACUUGAACUAAGUGCUCUAAGUACCACAUGCUCUAGCUCUAGGCUCACCAUCACUAAACUGAAGGGGUUUGAAUAACAUUGCUUCAUAGUUAAUGAACUAAGCCUCAACCUGCUUAGGGAUCUAGCCGACACAUCCAUUGUCCAUCCUAUUGUGGCUUCGUACUAGGUGUAGGUCAUCUAAAUGUUGGGGUCAUAAACAUCAUGGAAAGACUCGUCAACAUAAGUGAUGAUCCCAUACCUAGCCACAGGUGGAAUGUUCAUUUUAACGAUUUGAAAAAGAUGAAGGAAUGAACAAUGCCCACUAAAGAAACAAUAGGCUCUAAACUAGGUAAUCCACUAGUCGUCAAGGAGAAUGCAAAAUUCAAUAAUAAGUAGCACACAUAGACUAGAACAUACUAUCACAUAAACCACUCCAUUGUCAUACUUAUUCACAUUCUUAUGCACCACAAACAAAUCAUAAUAAUAUCAACACUCAGACCCUUAUGCAAUUGACCAAGCCAAGAUAUAAAUCAAACCACACACAAACACAUACACCCAGUGUAUUUAAUUCAUCAUGUGUUUCAUUAUCCAAACUCGAAUCGGUUUCCCACUAAGUCACAAACUGGUUUGAUCGAGUCACUUUCAGAAUUCCUUAUUCGGACUUCCAUGGAAUCCUUACCAUGGGCAUCUCACUCCAGGGCAUCUCACUCCAAGGCAUCUCAGCAUCACACAAUUAAGGCAUCCAUGAUCACAUAACAAGGGCAUCUCAAUCCGAGGUAUCUCAGUGUCACACAACUGAGGCAUCCUUGAUCACACAGUAAGUGCAUCUCACUCCAAGGCAUCCUGGUAUCACACACAAUUGAGCCAUCCAAGAUUACACAGCAUGGACAUCUCACUUCCCAAGGCAUCAUCGGUAUCAUAAAACCGAUAGAAAUCUUUUAAAUUCAAUUAUUCUACACAUUUUAUGCAUCACAUUUUAGAAUAAUCACACAACAACUACACGCUUACCGACUUAGUGCACAAAACCAUUCCAAAGCCAAGAUUCAAUGCUCACAUACGUGACCUCAUGGCAUACUUCAUUAAUUACACAUAUGAGACUCGACUAGUAACAAAUUAAUGUCAUUUUAUCACAAGUAAGAAAGAAAUACAAUUAGCAAUGUAAAAGAGGCAUAAGACCCCCAAGGAGUCACCGAAAGUUCAAAUAAGAUGUCUACAAAUGUUUGUAAGAAUUCGGACUAGAGUAGAAAAUAGGUAGUUUUAAGUAGUUCUAGCUCACAAGGGGCUUUGGGCUCUAUGCGCAAGCACUUAGAUAGGUUCAAGAGGUGGAAAUGUAAGAGAGUGAGUUCUUCAGGUAGGAAACCGAAGCUUAACUAACAUGAGAAAGGAAAAUGUCCUCUCACAAAGAACGUUAUAAAGGGGAAAUAUUUCAAUUGUGGCAAAAAUGGUUACUUCACCUGCGAUUGUGGUGAGUCAAGGAAGGUGGAGACUCUGUGUUUUUU
RNAcentral lists this long non-coding RNA (1690 nucleotides) under Eucalyptus grandis. RNAcentral's name for it is "long non-coding RNA (EGRA_LNC000605)". The record is from RNAcentral. Lineage: Eukaryota; Viridiplantae; Streptophyta; Magnoliopsida; Myrtales; Myrtaceae.